UACGUAGGGUGCGAGCGUUAAUCGGAAUUACUGGGCGUAAAGGGCGCGUAGGCGGGCGCACAAGUCAGGGGUGAAAGCCCACGGCUCAACCGUGGAAGUGCCUUUGAUACUGUGUGUCUUGAGGGAGGUAGGGGCGUGCGGAACUUCCGGUGGAGCGGUGAAAUGCGUAGAUAUCGGAAGGAACACCGGUGGCGAAAGCGGCGCGCUGGACCUCUACUGACGCUGAGGCGCGAAAGCCAGGGGAGCAAACGGG
Molecule: ribosomal RNA, 253 nt
Filed under: uncultured bacterium
Lineage: Bacteria
Description: partial 16S ribosomal RNA
Rfam family: Bacterial small subunit ribosomal RNA
Source: RNAcentral